GACGAACGCUGGCGGCGUGCUUAACACAUGCAAGUCGAACGCAGUGGCGAACGGGUGAGUAACGCGUAAUCAACCUGCCCUUCAGCGGGGGACAACAGUUGGAAACGACUGCUAAUACCGCAUACUGUAGGAGGAGAUUGCGUGUGAUUAGUUCGUUGGAGGGGGAAGGGCCCACCAAGGCGAGGAUCAGUAGCCGGUCUGAGAGGAUGAACGGCCACAUUGGGCCUGAGACACGGCCCAGACUCCUACGGGAGGCAGCAGUGGGGAAUCUUCCGGAAUGGACGGAAGUCUGACGGAGCAACGCCGCGUGAGUGAUGACGGCCUUCGGGUUGUAAAGCUCUGUUAAUCGGGACGCGGUACCGGAAUAGAAAGCCACGGCUAACUACGUGCCAGCAGCCGCGGUAAUUC
Molecule: ribosomal RNA, 408 nt
Filed under: uncultured bacterium
Lineage: Bacteria
Description: partial 16S ribosomal RNA
Rfam family: Bacterial small subunit ribosomal RNA
Source: RNAcentral